GUCGAGCGAAUCUGAUGGGAGCUUGCUCCCUGUCAGAUUACCGGCGGACGGGUGAGUACCCCGGGGGUAACCGGCCGGUAAAAUGGGAAUAACUCCGGGAAACCGGGGCUAAAACCGAAAACUUUUUUCCUCCCCUGGAAGGAAAUUUGAAGGGGGGUUCUAGCUACCCCUUACAAAUGGACCCCCGGCGCAUUACCUAGUUGGGGAGGUAACGGCUCCCCAAGGCAACAAUGCGUACCCAACUUGAAAGGGGGAUCGGCCCCCCUGGGACUGAAACCCGGCCCAAACUCCUACGGGAGGCAGCAGUAGGGAAUCUUCCCCAAGGGACAAAAGUCUGACGGACCAACCCCCCGGGAGGGAUGAAGGUUUUCGGAUCGUAAAACUUUGUUGUUAGGGAAAAACAAGUUUCGUUCGAAUAGGGGGGUACCUUGACGGUACCUAACCAAAAAGCCACGGUUAACUACUUGCCACCACCCGCGGAAAUACUUAGGGGGCAAGCGUUGUCCGGAAUAAUUGGGCGUAAGGGGGGCGCAGGCGGUUUCUUAAGUCGAAUGUGAAGGCCCACGGCUCACCCGGGGAGGGUCAUUGGAAACUGGAAAACUGGAUUGCAAAAAAGAAGACCGAAAUUCCCCGUGUACCGGUGAAAUGCGUAAAGAUGUGAAGGAACACCAUUGGCGAAGGCGGUUCUUUGGUCUGUAACUGACGCUGAGGGCGCGAAGGCGUGGGGGAGCGAACAGGAUUAGAUACCCUGUUAGUCCACGCCGUAAACGAUAAGUGCUAGUUGUUAAAGGGUUUCUGCCCUUUAGUGCUGCAGCUAACGCAUUAAGCACUNCGCCUGGGGAGUACGGCCGCAAGGCUGAAACUCAAAGGAAUUGACGGGG
This 881-nucleotide ribosomal RNA is filed under the name Bacillus sp. B185F. Its description in RNAcentral is "partial 16S ribosomal RNA". It matches the Rfam family "Bacterial small subunit ribosomal RNA", at positions 61 to 918 of the family's 1533-position model. The record is from RNAcentral. Lineage: Bacteria; Bacillati; Bacillota; Bacilli; Caryophanales; Bacillaceae.